CAAUAGCGUAUAUUAAAGUUGUUGCAGUUAAAAAGCUCGUAGUUGGAUUUCUGGUGGGAGCGAUCGGUCUGGCGCUUAGCGCGAGUACUUGCAUCGUCUCCGGCCAUCCUUGGGGAGAGUCUGUCUGGCAUUAGGUUGUCGGGCAGAGGAUCCUCAUCGUUUACUGUGAAAAAAUUAGAGUGUUCAAAGCAGGCUUAUGCCGUUGAAUAUAUUAGCAUGGAAUAAUAAGAUAGGACUUUGGUACUAUUUUGUUGGUUUGCGCACCAAAGUAAUGAUUAAUAGGGACAGUUGGGGGUAUUCGUAUUCCGUUGUCAGAGGUGAAAUUCUUGGAUUUACGGAAGACGAACUACUGCGAAAGCAUUUACCAAGGAUGUUUUCAUUAAA
RNAcentral lists this ribosomal RNA (384 nucleotides) under uncultured eukaryote. RNAcentral describes it as "partial 18S ribosomal RNA". It matches the Rfam family "Eukaryotic small subunit ribosomal RNA", at positions 592 to 977 of the family's 1831-position model. The record is from RNAcentral.